UGGGGAAUAUUGGACAAUGGGCGAAAGCCUGAUCCAGCCAUGCCGCGUGUGUGAAGAAGGUCUUCGGAUUGUAAAGCACUUUAAGUUGGGAGGAAGGGCAGUAAGCGAAUACCUUGCUGUUUUUACGUUACCGACAGAAUAAGCACCGGCUAACUCUGUGCCAGCAGCCGCGGUAAUACAGAGGGUGCAAGCGUUAAUCGGAAUUACUGGGCGUAAAGCGCGCGUAGGUGGUUCGUUAAGUUGAAUGUGAAAGCCCCGGGCUCAACCUGGGAACUGCAUCCAAAACUGGCGAGCUGGAGUAGGGCAGAGGGUGGUGGAAUUUCCUGUGUAGCGGUGAAAUGCGUAGAUAUAGGAAGGAACACCAGUGGCGAAGGCGACCACCUGGGCUCAUACUGACACUGAGGUGAGAAAGAGUAGGGAGCAAACAGG
RNAcentral lists this ribosomal RNA (429 nucleotides) under Pseudomonadota bacterium. RNAcentral's name for it is "Proteobacteria bacterium partial 16S ribosomal RNA". It matches the Rfam family "Bacterial small subunit ribosomal RNA", at positions 355 to 776 of the family's 1533-position model. The record is from RNAcentral. Lineage: Bacteria; Pseudomonadati; Pseudomonadota.